Molecule: ribosomal RNA, 700 nt
Filed under: Flavobacterium sp. E4R
Lineage: Bacteria; Pseudomonadati; Bacteroidota; Flavobacteriia; Flavobacteriales; Flavobacteriaceae
Description: bacterial SSU rRNA
Rfam family: Bacterial small subunit ribosomal RNA
Source: RNAcentral
GGAUAGCCCAGAGAAAUUUGGAUUAAUACCUCAUAGUAUAUUGGUCUCGCAUGAGAUUAUUAUUAAAGAUUUAUCGGUGAAAGAUGAGCAUGCGUCCCAUUAGUUAGUUGGUAAGGUAACGGCUUACCAAGACUACGAUGGGUAGGGGUCCUGAGAGGGAGAUCCCCCACACUGGUACUGAGACACGGACCAGACUCCUACGGGAGGCAGCAGUGAGGAAUAUUGGACAAUGGGCGCAAGCCUGAUCCAGCCAUGCCGCGUGCAGGAUGACGGUCCUAUGGAUUGUAAACUGCUUUUAUACGAGAAGAAACACUGGUUCGUGAACCAGCUUGACGGUAUCGUAAGAAUAAGGAUCGGCUAACUCCGUGCCAGCAGCCGCGGUAAUACGGAGGAUCCAAGCGUUAUCCGGAAUCAUUGGGUUUAAAGGGUCCGUAGGCGGUCAGAUAAGUCAGUGGUGAAAGCCCAUCGCUCAACGGUGGAACGGCCAUUGAUACUGUCUGACUUGAAUUAUUAGGAAGUAACUAGAAUAUGUAGUGUAGCGGUGAAAUGCUUAGAGAUUACAUGGAAUACCAAUUGCGAAGGCAGGUUACUACUAAUGGAUUGACGCUGAUGGACGAAAGCGUGGGUAGCGAACAGGAUUAGAUACCCUGGUAGUCCACGCCGUAAACGAUGGAUACUAGCUGUUGGGAGCAAUCUCAGU